GCUUAAUCAUUUUUAGUUUUUGAUUUAAAGUGAGAAAUGCAAGUCUCUUCCUUUCACUUGAACACUUGAGCUAUGGUAGGGUUAUAAAUUAAUCGAUCAAAUUUUCAUCUUAUAUAUUAGGGAAUAGGGAGGCCCAAGGAGAGGAAGAGAGAUGAAGGAAUGGUCAGUUGGUGGAGCAGUCAGAACGUACACAUAUUUUUUGCUUAAAUUUGUCUUCUCAUAUAGUUGGGAUUUGUGGCACCCCAAAACAAUUAUUAUGGUAACAUCAAGGAUGACUGAUCACAGAUCACUGUAACAGAUAUAACAGUAAUAAUAAUAAUAAUAAAGCUUGAAAUAUUGUGAGAAUUACCAAAAUGUGACAGAGACACAAAGCAAGCACAUGCUGUUGAAAAAUGGUGCCAACAGAUUUGCUCAACAAAAGAUUGCCACAAACCUUCAAUUUGUAAAACAAAACCAAAAAGAGUAUCUGUGAAGCACAAUACAUUGAAGUGUGAUAAAAAUAAGGUAUACUUGUAUAACACAGCCUCAGCCAAUGUGGCAGUGAACUCUGGACUGAAUAUUGCUUGACUGAUUUGUCUGAGUUGGGUCAAAAUGGUCUGGUCUUCAUCCCUUCAGUGUGUUCAUUCAGUGGAUGUGGGAGAAGGGCAUGAGCUUGGUAGGGUGCCUCUUUGUAACUGAGGCUGACCCCAAAGAGCUAACUCCUGGAUGCUGUCUUCUGAUUAUAAUUCCUGCAGAUGGUCAGCAAGUCUUCUUGAAGGAGGAUCCAAGAAACAUAUUCAUAUAUUCUACAGUCCAAUAUUUGCACUGCUCCGACCCACUUUUUGAUAUAUGUUGUGGGAACGAUGCCUCCAGGAUUCUGGUGGACAUCCCUUUCUGUGGGAAACCUUAGAAAUGGGAAGUUAAUGGGAUAAACCAUAGUCCCUCUGUGACAUUUGGGAUUGACGCUGAAAUGGAUACUUUUUGUCUCACUCCUCUACUGUCCUUUGGUUUCCUUAACUAUGUGUUAUGACCCAGGUCUUUAUCUCCAAAAGAUGUGAGCACUUGGUCAUCAUGCCCUUCUCAGGCUGUGAUUGCUGAAACUGUCCAUUUAUACUCACCAUCAGGCCGGGGAGUACUAAUAGGCACCUCAGGAGAUCACCUGGGUUCUACACAUAUACCCCUAUAUUUCCGUCUUAGGAGCCCUGCCUCCUCCUGAUGAUUAGGGUCAAUCACCUCUGUCAAGAAUGUGAUUGUCUUCUUUUUGGUGCAAGGACACAGUGAGUUUCAGCUUAUAAUUUAUUGGGACUCUUAACUGUGCCCUGGUGACCCACGUGGGCACCAGGACCUUUAAGCUGCAGAGUCCAGACUUGCAGGAGGCAACAAGCACAAAUCACCCCAGUGAGUCACUGUGAAUGGCAGUAAGUGGGAUCACUCCUGUUUCCAGCCCUUGGUUCCUGGACCAAUGUAAAGAUCUGUAGUUCAGUGCAUACAAUUCAUCCUGGGGAAUGGUAUCCUAUUCCUGUAGUAUAUUGCCUCGCAAUAAGUGCUUCAGCUUUAGCUCAGUUGCCCCAUCAGUAGGCAUUUCCAAUGCUUUAUUAGGCUGGCAGCUUCUAGAUUAUGUUAUCUGUUAUACAGCGAGUAUAUACCAUGUUCUUCGGCCCCCUUCCACAACUUCUUCACUGUAAAGUUGUACCUUGGUCUGAUGAUAUUAUAUGGAAACAAUAGACCAGUGGGUCAGAUACACCAAAUAUUCCAAGAUAUCGGUGCUCACUGAGGCUCACUGCCUUACCUCAGCAUGAUAAGGCAAAUUCAUAUCAAGAAUAUGUGUCUAUUACUGUAAGAAUGAACCACUGACCCUUCCAGGAUGCUAAUGACCAAUUAUAGUCAAUUUCCCUCCAAAUGUUCUUCUAGGAAUAAUGCCAGAUUAGGUGAUCAGCUUGGUCUUUAUUGUUUGUUCGCUGAUGGCACGCCUCUGCUGCUCCAGAGGCAUACACUGUGAUUCUUUCUCUGGGGCUUACCACAAACUCCACUUAACAUCUUUUUCUAUCAUAGAUACUUUCAACAUCAUAGGGUCUACUAGAGAGUAUGACCCUAGUGGAAGAUUGUUUGUAUCACAACCUGGUCCUGGUGCAGAGUUCUUUCCUUCUCUCGUUUCCACUCAAAGAUGACAGCAUUAUAUGGUACCAAAUAUAAGGACCAGAGCAGUGGUCCUAGGUAUCAAAUUCGCUGCCUCCAGGAACCAAAGCAAUCCCUAGGCAUUGUCCUUCCUUCUUCAUGGUAGGAAGUGCAGAAAGGAAUAAUUUGGCCUUUCUUUGGAAGGGAUAACCCCGCGUAUUCCUGACUCUUAGAAAACUAAAAAUUUUACUGACACAGCAUGUCCUUGAUCACAAUUUAUUAUUCUUCACAGAACUUAUCUUCCAUCCUCUGAGCUCAUGUGUUUUACCAAAGUCUUCAACGUCAUAACUACCUCUUGUAUAUCUUGUAUACCUGGUUUGAUCAACAUGAUGCCACCAAUGUACUCGAUCAAUGUGAUGUACUGUGGGAUAGCUAGACAGUUUUCUCACUGUGUUAUGACAGAGGGUGGAAGUAUUAUCAUAGCCCUGGGUCCAUAAGACCAAUAACUCACUGUAAGUCAGAGCAUUGCUAAGACUUUAUUACCUGGUCCUCAUAUAUGUUUUCAUUCUAACAGGAAGGUCUUCACAAUGUUCUGAGUACCUUGAUAUUAAUGUCAACUCAGUCCCUGUGUUCAAUAGUCUUGAAAUGGAUAGAUAUUCCCCCCUUCCUUUGCACAGCUAUGUAAGUGGCCUUAGUUCCCUUUGGUGAAGGGCUGGGGGAGUCAUUACUGUUUAUAUAUUUGCAAUGGUGUUAUAGCAUCCUGGUCCCAGGGCUCUGUCCAUGUCAUCAGGGAGUGAGUUCCAGGUUUGAAAGAAGUUCAAGUCCACAAACUGGGAAAGUGAUUAGCUUUUGGGGAGGCAACUGCUUUUUGCUUCCCAGUCAUCUAUGCUUGGCUUCUUCUAUUGGCAUAAAGUAAUAUCCUUAUUGGCUGCCUGACUAUUUUGCCCUUAAGGAUUUUGGAAUCCUUCUACUGCCAUCACCUUAGGUCUUGGCCGCCAUUCUGAUCUUGCCAGUCUUUAUGGCUAUUGCAGCUUCUUAUAUAUUGCCUCCUGACCUCUAGGUGUGAGAGUCAUACUAUCACCACUGCUAGCAGUGAGUAAAGUUCUGUAACACCCCCUCCUACUCUGAGCCCUGGCUUGCAAAAACUCAAUACUGGACCUUCUAGUAAUGCCAGUGCUCCUCUUAUUAGCACAUUUUUUAUGCCUUCGGUAAAUGGUGUAUUUUAUGGACAUUCCUAUGGAACAUUAUCAUCUAAAGGCCCUGUAGAACUUCAGCAUGCCCAUUGCCAUGAAGCUUUUAAUCCCAUAAUCAUUUAUUAUGGCAAUUCUGGCAUUCCAGCUUCACUGUAUGGGCAUUACUUUUUCCAUUGCUUCUAGAAGCCAUCCCAGGAACAAAUUUGCACCAUGCCCUAGGGUCCUUGCCAAGGUGUAAAAUCCUAUAUCUUGGGAGAGUGAGCUUUUUUCUCUUCCUAAUUUUAUGUUUGCUAUUUGAUGAUGCAUCUCAGAAUGAAAUACCUUUUCUCUGAGCAUGCUGAGCACUUUUCCAGUUGAUUAUGCUGUGACUGAAUCUUAGCUUUAUGCCUAGUGGCCAAAAGAGGCAGUGGGGGAAGACUCUGCAAGAUACCCAUUGCCUCAGAGUGGAGUGGCCUCUGCAUUCUCUUUCACUAUUCUGGGAUGAAUCACUCCUGCAGAUGAGUAUAUGGAGCAUGAGUUCAAGGGAUCCAGUCAGAUGUUCCCAUCCUGUGUGUCAGAGUCUCAAGUUUUUUCCACCAAGGUCCUGAUUACAGCGCUCUCUUGAUUGGGCAUUUAACUUUUUUUUUUUAGGUUCAGCUACUUGGAUUUCUUUCUCCUCCCCUGGAAGGAAAUGAGAGCCACUUUGUAUGCAGUCAGAAAGGAUACUGACAUUCAUGCCUGGAUUUUAAUUGCCUGUUGCUCACCAUCAGCUGUUCAUUAUUCAAAAGGGAGAUUUUCCUGAGUAGGUCUGACCUACCAGAUGAGCCCUUUUAAGAAGGGUCUGGAGGUAAGAUUUAAAGCUGCAGACACUUCUUUUCCUAGCUUUGAAGAAGCUAUGAGUUCUACAACUGCCAGAAAAUGAAACCUGCGACAUCCUGAAUGAGCUUGGAAGAAGAUGUUUUCUUUGAUGAGAAAUACAACUCAGCUAGUCCCUUGAUUGUAGCUUUGUGGGACCCUGAGCCAAAGACCUAGCUAAGCCUGUCCAACUCCUCACAAAUAAAAACUGUGAGAUAAUAAAUGUAUGUUGCUUAAGAUGCUAA
Molecule: long non-coding RNA, 4366 nt
Organism: Sapajus apella (tufted capuchin)
Lineage: Eukaryota; Metazoa; Chordata; Mammalia; Primates; Cebidae
Exons: 2
Source: RefSeq, a predicted model, not a curated record